ACUUUACAAUGCUGGCAACAGCGAUAAGGGAACCUCGAGUGCCAGGUUACAAAUCUGGCGUGUCGAGAUGCCUAAAAAGCAUUUCAUAGCAAGGGCCGGGCAAGACCGGUGCCAGCCGCCGCGGUAACACCGGCGGCCGAGUGGUAAAUCGUGAUUAUUGGGUCUAAAGGGUCCGUAGCCGGUUUGGUCAGUCUCUGGGAAAUCUGAUAGCUCAACUAUUAGGCUUUCGGGGGAUACUGCCAGACUUGGAACCGGGAGAGGUUAAGAGGUACUACA
RNAcentral lists this ribosomal RNA (276 nucleotides) under uncultured archaeon. Its description in RNAcentral is "partial 16S ribosomal RNA". It matches the Rfam family "Archaeal small subunit ribosomal RNA", at positions 347 to 622 of the family's 1478-position model. The record is from RNAcentral.